UACAUAGGUGACAAGCGUUAUCCGGAAUUAUUGGGCGUAAAGCGUAUGUAGGUGGUUUAUUAAGUCUGAAGUUAAAUACUGGUGCUCAACACCAGCCCGCUUUAGAUACUGGUAGACUAGAGUUACAGAGAGGUUAAUGGAACUCCUAGUGAAGCGGUGGAAUGCGUAGAUAUUAGGAAGAACACCAAAGGCGAAGGCAAUUAACUGGCUGUACACUGACACUCAGAUACGAAAGCGUGGGGAGCAAAUAGG
RNAcentral lists this ribosomal RNA (252 nucleotides) under uncultured bacterium. RNAcentral's name for it is "partial 16S ribosomal RNA". It matches the Rfam family "Bacterial small subunit ribosomal RNA", at positions 524 to 776 of the family's 1533-position model. The record is from RNAcentral.